Molecule: unclassified non-coding RNA, 352 nt
Filed under: soil metagenome
Description: partial contains 5.8S ribosomal RNA, internal transcribed spacer 2, and large subunit ribosomal RNA
Rfam family: 5.8S ribosomal RNA (bases 1-119)
Source: RNAcentral
GAUGAAGAACGUAGUGAAAUGCGAUAAGAAUGUGAAUUGCAGAAUUCAGUGAAUCAUCGAAUCUUUGAACGCACAUUGCGCCCGCCAGUAUUCUGGCGGGCAUGCCUGUUCGAGCGUCAUUACAACCCUCAGGCCCCCGGGCCUGGCGUUGGGGAUCGGCGGAAGCCCCCUGCGGGCACAACGCCGUCCCCCAAAUACAGUGGCGGUCCCGCCGCAGCUUCCAUUGCGUAGUAGCUAACACCUCGCAACUGGAGAGCGGCGCGGCCACGCCGUAAAACACCCAACUUCUGAAUGUUGACCUCGAAUCAGGUAGGAAUACCCGCUGAACUUAAGCAUAUCAAUAAGCGGAGGA